GGCCAUCAUUGGCUCUGUGACCACAUUAUAAAGUUUUUUCGUGUGGAUAUCUCAUUCGAUGUUCUUGAUAACCACAGUGGCAGAUAAGGAGCAAAUGGAUCUGGUGAAAAGAAUGACUUGCUCGGGGCCACAAGGCACUGACAUGGCCGUCUUCUGUCUGCUGUGUGGGAAGCGCUUCCAGGCGCAGAGCGCACUGCAGCAGCACAUGGAGGUCCACGCGGGCGUGCGCAGCUACAUCUGCAGUGAGUGCAACCGCACCUUCCCCAGCCACACGGCUCUCAAACGCCACCUGCGCUCACAUACAGGCGACCACCCCUACGAGUGUGAGUUCUGUGGCAGCUGCUUCCGGGAUGAGAGCACACUCAAGAGCCACAAACGCAUCCACACGGGUGAGAAACCCUACGAGUGCAAUGGCUGUGGCAAGAAGUUCAGCCUCAAGCAUCAGCUGGAGACGCACUAUAGGGUGCACACAGGUGAGAAGCCCUUUGAGUGUAAGCUCUGCCACCAGCGCUCCCGGGACUACUCGGCCAUGAUCAAGCACCUGAGAACGCACAACGGCGCCUCGCCCUACCAGUGCACCAUCUGCACAGAGUACUGCCCCAGCCUCUCCUCCAUGCAGAAGCACAUGAAGGGCCACAAGCCCGAGGAGAUCCCGCCCGACUGGAGGAUAGAGAAGACGUACCUCUACCUGUGCUAUGUGUGAAG
This 705-nucleotide small RNA is filed under the name Pan troglodytes (chimpanzee). RNAcentral describes it as "processed transcript". Lineage: Eukaryota; Metazoa; Chordata; Mammalia; Primates; Hominidae. The record is from RNAcentral.